RNAcentral lists this ribosomal RNA (492 nucleotides) under uncultured bacterium. RNAcentral describes it as "partial 16S ribosomal RNA". It matches the Rfam family "Bacterial small subunit ribosomal RNA", at positions 29 to 507 of the family's 1533-position model. The record is from RNAcentral.
AGUGAACGCUGGCGGUAGGCCUAACACAUGCCAGUCGAACGGCAGCACAGUAAGAGCUUGCUCUUACGGGUGGCGAGUGGCGGACGGGUGAGGAAUACAUCGGAAUCUACUUUUUCGUGGGGGAUAACGUAGGGAAACUUACGCUAAUACCGCAUACGACCUACGGGUGAAAGCAGGGGAUCUUCGGACCUUGCGCGAUUGAAUGAGCCGAUGUCGGAUUAGCUAGUUGGCGGGGUAAAGGCCCACCAAGGCGACGAUCCGUAGCUGGUCUGAGAGGAUGAUCAGCCACACUGGAACUGAGACACGGUCCAGACUCCUACGGGAGGCAGCAGUGGGGAAUAUUGGACAAUGGGCGCAAGCCUGAUCCAGCCAUACCGCGUGGGUGAAGAAGGCCUUCGGGUUGUAAAGCCCUUUUGUUGGGAAAGAAAAGCAGCAGGUUAAUACCCCGCUGUUCUGACGGUACCCAAAGAAUAAGCACCGGCUGACUUCGUG